RNAcentral lists this long non-coding RNA (1749 nucleotides) under Trifolium pratense (red clover). RNAcentral describes it as "long non-coding RNA (TPRA_LNC011978)". Lineage: Eukaryota; Viridiplantae; Streptophyta; Magnoliopsida; Fabales; Fabaceae. The record is from RNAcentral.
CGAGUUAUUACAAAUUACUUCAAAACCUUACUAAUAACAUUAAUUGGUAGAAUACGAGUUUCAACAAAGUAUUAUUAAUUAUACAAAAUAAUUAAGACUAGAUGACUCUACAUAUAUAAAACCCCCUUUUCCCGUGUCAUAAUCAGAGCGGAGCUUCAUCAAUACUCGAACACACGACCUGAGAAUCUGGACCCCCAAAGGUCCAGCACAUACACAAAACAAAGAGUUAGCAAAAUAUCCGACUAAGUGCAAGUAACUCGAUUACUAUCCACACUUGAGUAAAUAAAAGGCAUAAGCAUAUACGUUCCUACACAAUUCUAUCUAAUAAGCAUACUCAUUAACAAUAUAGCAUAGCGAAUUAGAUAACAAAUACACACAUAAUUAUCAAAGAAACACUUAUGUUAANNNNNNNNNNNNNNNNNNNNNNNNNNNNNNNNNNNNNNNNNNNNNNNNNNNNNNNNNNAGAAAUGUAUGUCUCCUAAUGCAUAUCUAAUGCAUGUGGUACCAUUCCUUUUUUUGGAUAAACUUAUAUCCCUCUGCAUCUCUCAUUUGCUUACCAAAGCGGCUAUGCAUUUGACCAAUUACAUUGGAUUUCCAACCUUACCAAAGGUCAAUCAUACAACGUGAGUGCAUGAAAUGUUCACAUAGCAAUUAUAUGAUAUUUACAUCUACACAUAUACCAAUAUGUAUGUANNNNNNNNNUAACUAUCAACUCCAUGAUCAAUUAACAAUUCAUAUUAUGAUUCAAUCACAAACAUCAUUGUCACACAUAAUGCAUUUAUUCCAUCAAUCAACAAUCCAAUUAUCAUUGAAUAGAAUACUAGCAUACAUUCCUAAUUAUUCAAUCAUUUGAAUUCACAAAACUCAUUUUAUUUCCAAAUAAUGUUUCUAACAUAAGAAAUUAUUAACAAGCAAGCAUUAUUCCAGAAAACUAACUUCAGAUUCGGAAUCUACACAAAAAACUGUGGAAAAUGGGUUCGGGGUGCAUGAACCAUCGGAAAGUCAACACUCAGUCAACAGUCAACGCAGUCUGGUCAAAGUCAAGGGUCAACAGUCAAACUGUCAAACCAACAGUUGCGUCGGUCAUAGCGUCGAUAAAUUUCGACGCAAAUACCAGUUCAUACUGUAUAAUUAUUAUGCAGAAAAAUUAGCGACGCCAUAGCGUCCAACUAUUCGACGCAAAUACUAUAUUGCAGAUUUUCAGAAAAACGGGUUUUGAAGGUGGGUUUGAUCCAAAAGUGCUUAUUUUCAGCAAAAUCACUUAUUUGAACUUAGGAAAAGCACAUACAUUUAGUACCCAACAUAUAACUCAUAUAAAACAACUUAAACAUAAGUUAAAACACCAAAUCAUCAAGAUUAAUCAUUUAUCUUCAAGUUAUUAGAUUUUGUCAUAAAUCUCAAAACCCACAAUUUUUGCAAAGCUUGAGCAAUCAAUCAAAAGCAAUGACAUCAUAUAUGCAUCAACAAGGAAUAUAAACACAUUCCCAAUUUCCAAAUUAACCACAACCCAUAGAGAUGAAAGAGUUUGGGUAUGGAGAAGAAAUGUUCUUCUCCCCUCUUUAUGAACCAUCUCAAAAUGAAUAAAUUACUACUCUCAUACCUUAUUGAGGUUGGAUUCUCUAGUCCUUCAUCUCCUAGUUCUUCUUCAAUCUUCCCCUCUACUUAGCUUUCCUCUUCAUUCUUUGUUCUUUCUCUUCUUUUCUCUAACUUUCUCUUUAUCUUUAUUUCUUGAGAGUUUCUCUCUCUACC